Molecule: ribosomal RNA, 1020 nt
Filed under: uncultured Burkholderia sp.
Lineage: Bacteria; Pseudomonadati; Pseudomonadota; Betaproteobacteria; Burkholderiales; Burkholderiaceae
Description: bacterial SSU rRNA
Rfam family: Bacterial small subunit ribosomal RNA
Source: RNAcentral
UCCUACGGGAGGCAGCAGUGGGGAAUUUUGGACAAUGGGCGAAAGCCUGAUCCAGCAAUGCCGCGUGUGUGAAGAAGGCCUUCGGGUUGUAAAGCACUUUUGUCCGGAAAGAAAUCCUUGGCUCUAAUACAGUCGGGGGAUGACGGUACCGGAAGAAUAAGCACCGGCUAACUACGUGCCAGCAGCCGCGGUAAUACGUAGGGUGCGAGCGUUAAUCGGAAUUACUGGGCGUAAAGCGUGCGCAGGCGGUUUGCUAAGACCGAUGUGAAAUCCCCGGGCUCAACCUGGGAACUGCAUUGGUGACUGGCAGGCUAGAGUAUGGCAGAGGGGGGUAGAAUUCCACGUGUAGCAGUGAAAUGCGUAGAGAUGUGGAGGAAUACCGAUGGCGAAGGCAGCCCCCUGGGCCAAUACUGACGCUCAUGCACGAAAGCGUGGGGAGCAAACAGGAUUAGAUACCCUGGUAGUCCACGCCCUAAACGAUGUCAACUAGUUGUUGGGGAUUCAUUUCCUUAGUAACGUAGCUAACGCGUGAAGUUGACCGCCUGGGGAGUACGGUCGCAAGAUUAAAACUCAAAGGAAUUGACGGGGACCCGCACAAGCGGUGGAUGAUGUGGAUUAAUUCGAUGCAACGCGAAAAACCUUACCUACCCUUGACAUGGUCGGAAUCCCGCUGAGAGGUGGGAGUGCUCGAAAGAGAACCGGCGCACAGGUGCUGCAUGGCUGUCGUCAGCUCGUGUCGUGAGAUGUUGGGUUAAGUCCCGCAACGAGCGCAACCCUUGUCCUUAGUUGCUACGCAAGAGCACUCUAAGGAGACUGCCGGUGACAAACCGGAGGAAGGUGGGGAUGACGUCAAGUCCUCAUGGCCCUUAUGGGUAGGGCUUCACACGUCAUACAAUGGUCGGAACAGAGGGUUGCCAACCCGCGAGGGGGAGCUAAUCCCAGAAAACCGAUCGUAGUCCGGAUUGCACUCUGCAACUCGAGUGCAUGAAGCUGGAAUCGCUAGUAAUCGCGGAUCAGCAU